UACGAAGGGUGCAAGCGUUAUUCGGAAUUACUGGGCGUAAAGCGUGCGUAGGCGGUUUGUCAAGUCUGAUGUGAAAGCCCUGGGCUCAACCUGGGAAUGGCAUUGGAAACUGGCGACCUAGAGUGCGGUAGAGGGUAGUGGAAUUCCCGGUGUAGCAGUGAAAUGCGUAGAGAUCGGGAGGAACAUCGGUGGCGAAGGCGACUGCCUGGACCGGCACUGACACUGAGGCACGAAAGCGUGGGGAGCAAACAGG
Molecule: ribosomal RNA, 253 nt
Filed under: uncultured bacterium
Lineage: Bacteria
Description: partial 16S ribosomal RNA
Rfam family: Bacterial small subunit ribosomal RNA
Source: RNAcentral